This 439-nucleotide ribosomal RNA is filed under the name uncultured bacterium. Its description in RNAcentral is "partial 16S ribosomal RNA". It matches the Rfam family "Bacterial small subunit ribosomal RNA", at positions 338 to 795 of the family's 1533-position model. The record is from RNAcentral.
CCUACGGGAGGCUGCAGUGGGGGAUAUUGCACAAUGGGGGAAACCCUGAUGCAGCGAUGCCGCGUGAAUGAAGACGGCCUUCGGGUUGUAAAGUUCCUUUGCAGGGGACGAAAAUGACGGUACCCUGCAAGAAAGCUGCGUCUAACUACGUGCCAGCAGCCGCGGUACUACGCAGGGAGCAAGCGUUGUCCGGAAUUACUGGGUGUAAUGGGAGCGUAGGCGGGAGGAUAAGUUGAAUGUAAAAUCUAUGGGCUCAACCCAUAGCUGCGUUCAAAACUGUUCUUCUUGAGUGGAGUAGAGGCAGGCGGAAUGCGUGGUGUAGCGGUGAAAUGCAUAGAUAUUAGGAGGAACACCGGUGGCGAAGGCGGCCUGCUGGGCUUUUACUGACGCUGAGGCACGAAAGCGUGGGUAGCGAACAGGAUUAGAUACCCGGGUAGUC